AAAAACGAAAGAAACACAUGAUUGAUGGGAAAAAUGAUGAUUGAAAAAUUGGGAAAAUUGACUCUUUGGUUUGUUCUUCCCU
This 82-nucleotide non-coding RNA is filed under the name Chloropicon laureae. The record is from RNAcentral. Lineage: Eukaryota; Viridiplantae; Chlorophyta; Chloropicophyceae; Chloropicales; Chloropicaceae.